This 320-nucleotide ribosomal RNA is filed under the name uncultured eukaryote. RNAcentral's name for it is "partial 18S ribosomal RNA". It matches the Rfam family "Eukaryotic small subunit ribosomal RNA", at positions 1470 to 1796 of the family's 1831-position model. The record is from RNAcentral.
CCCCUAGAUGUUCUGGGCCGCACGCGCGCUACACUGAACAGUUCAACAAGUCUUAACCUUGGCCGAUAGGUCUGGGUAAUCUUUGAACGCUGCUCGUGAUUGGGAUAGACCUUUGCAAUUAUGGGUCUUCAACGAGGAAUUCCUAGUAAACGCAAGUCAUCAGCUUGCAUUGAUUACGUCCCUGCCCUUUGUACACACCGCCCGUCGCACCUACCGAUUGAAUGGUCCGGUGAAAUCUCGGGACGGCGGCUUGGUCGCUUGCGUCCGACUGCUGAAACUUGAUUAAACCAUAUCAUUUAGAGGAAGGUGAAGUCGUAACA